Molecule: ribosomal RNA, 556 nt
Filed under: uncultured bacterium
Lineage: Bacteria
Description: partial 16S ribosomal RNA
Rfam family: Bacterial small subunit ribosomal RNA
Source: RNAcentral
UGGGGAAUAUUGCACAAUGGGCGAAAGCCUGAUGCAGCAACGCCGCGUGAGUGAUGAAGGCCUUCGAGUUGUAAAGCUCUGUCUUUUGGGACGAUAAUGACGGUACCAAAGGAGGAAGCCACGGCUAACUACGUGCCAGCAGCCGCGGUAAUACGUAGGUGGCAAGCGUUGUCCGGAUUUACUGGGCGUAAAGGAUGCGUAGGCGGAUUUUUAAGUGAGAUGUGAAAACCCUAAGCUUAACUUGGGGACUGCAUUUCAUACUGGAAAUCUAGAGUGCGGGAGAGGAGAAUGGAAUUCCUAGUGUAGCGGUGAAAUGCGUAGAGAUUAGGAAGAACACCAGUGGCGAAGGCGAUUCUCUGGACCGUAACUGACGCUGAGGCAUGAAAGCGUGGGUAGCAAACAGGAUUAGAUACCCUGGUAGUCCACGCCGUAAACGAUGAGUACUAGGUGUAGGAGGUAUCGACCCCUUCUGUGCCGCAGUUAACACAAUAAGUACUCCGCCUGGGAAGUACGAUCGCAAGAUUAAAACUCAAAGGAAUUGACGGGGUCAUAGCUG